Non-coding RNA from Xyrichtys novacula (pearly razorfish), 336 nucleotides. The record is from the annotation of a GenBank genome assembly. NCBI's taxonomy places the organism in Eukaryota, Metazoa, Chordata, Actinopteri, Labriformes, Labridae.
CUCCAAAUGGAGGACUCAUUUGAAAAAUAAACAGGGGGAAUGGUCUGCAGAGGGUUUAUUGAUUUAUUCAGCGUUAUUUAUCCGCAGAUAUCCUACAUUCAAGGCUGCAUCUGCACUGAAAUAGCUCAAAGUAACAUGUAUGUAAGGGAUGUUAUCAGCAGGUAGGACAGGUGAGUGACAGGUAAUUAUCCAGCCAUCUGUCCAUCUGUUGUCUACGUAUAUAAACCUGCUGCUUUUUCUGUGCAGGGUCCCAGGGGAUCACAGUCCUUUCAGGCUCAGGGUCCACCUGGACUUGUUACCAGUCCAUCAAUUCUCUAUAAGAGGAAACUUCCCGAG